GAUGAACGCUAGCGGCAGGCCUAAUACAUGCAAGUCGAACGGGAUUGCAGCGUAGCUUGCUACACUGCAUGAGAGUGGCGCACGGGUGCGUAACGCGUGAGCAACCUACCCAUAUCAGGGGGAUAGCCCGGAGAAAUCCGGAUUAACACCGCAUGUUACAGUAUUACCGCAUGGUAUAGCUGUUAACUAUUUAUAGGAUAUGGAUGGGCUCGCGUGACAUUAGCUAGUUGGUGGGGUAACGGCCCACCAAGGCGACGAUGUCUAGGGGCUCUGAGAGGAGAAUCCCCCACACUGGUACUGAGACACGGACCAGACUCCUACGGGAGGCAGCAGUAAGGAAUAUUGGUCAAUGGGCGGAAGCCUGAACCAGCCAUGCCGCGUGCAGGACGACUGCCCUAUGGGUUGUAAACUGCUUUUGUACGGGAAUAACCCUCUCUACGUGUAGAGAGCUGAACGUACCGUAAGAAUAAGGAUCGGCUAACUCCGUGCCAGCCGCCGCCGUAA
This 504-nucleotide ribosomal RNA is filed under the name uncultured bacterium. RNAcentral describes it as "partial 16S ribosomal RNA". It matches the Rfam family "Bacterial small subunit ribosomal RNA", at positions 28 to 523 of the family's 1533-position model. The record is from RNAcentral.